Molecule: ribosomal RNA, 259 nt
Filed under: uncultured bacterium
Lineage: Bacteria
Description: partial 16S ribosomal RNA
Rfam family: Bacterial small subunit ribosomal RNA
Source: RNAcentral
CUUGCAAACUAAAGAUGGCGACCGGCGCACGGGUGAGUAACACGUAUCCAACCUGCCGAUAACUCGGGGAUAGCCUUUCGAAAGAAAGAUUAAUAUCCGAUAGUAUAUUAAAACCGCAUGGUUUUACUAUUAAAGAAUUUCGGUUAUCGAUGGGGAUGCGUUCCAUUAGUUUGUUGGCGGGGUAACAGCCCACCAAGACUACGAUGGAUAGGGGUUCUGAGAGGAAGGUCCCCCACAUUGGAACUGAGACACGGUCCAA